CAGUAUAACAGGCAAGAUAACAGUAAUCUGUUGUCCCAUGUUGUUGUACAUGGAGGAACGAAAUUCUCCAUCCAUGUUGUUGUACAUGGAGGAACGAAAUUCUCCAUCCAUGUUGUUGUACAUGGAGGAACGAAAUUCUCCAUCCAUUUUCAUCCAUUUUUUGUUCAUAUGAAAACAGUUUCACGUUAAUAAUUAUACGACGAGAACACCAUCAAUAUUACCUUCCUUGUAAUAAACCCUAGUCUUAAUAUCUCACAGUUGAGAAAAUAUUAGGAGAAUAACUCUCCAUAACAACGCAACAUAUUUUGCGCAUGCGCGGACGAGACUGGGAGGAAGGAGAGAGCGACAGCAGCCAUAUUGCUGAUAAGAAGCAGUGUCCAGGAGUUCACGUUAACAUCGGCCCAUAAUUGCGUCAUCCUUGCUGGAGCAGGUGCCAGGAAUCGAGAGUGACUCCGCCCACAUCAGACACUCAUCCCGGCGAGCGUAAUCUGGAGUCAUAGUGACAAGAGGAGAGAUAACCUUCAUCUCCAUGCUUGUGGCCGGAUAGCGAGUAACAACAAGCAUGAGGACGUGACUGCCCUAUACGUGUACACCUAUUUCAGCCAAACAGCUAAGCUGUCAUAUUACCAGAUGCACUCGCCCGGCGCUUCUCGAGCGCCUUGGCCUGGAUUCAUAUCCUGGCCGGGGAGGAUUGACUGGGCGCGAAUCCAUAACUACAGCCUCUGUUCAUCGAGUAGUGAAUGGGUACCUGCUUGUUAAACAUUAGCGGGUCUUAUUCCAGGGAAAAUUAGGAUUAAGGACCUGCCUGAAACGCUAUGCGGGCUAAUGGCUUUACAAGAAUGUAAGAACUCUUGUAAAUAUAUUUAUAAAAUAUAAAAAAUAAAUAAAACCAAUUUUUUUUUAAAUCAUAAAAUGCACAUUUUGUAAUCAGACGCAACUUCAGACAAAACUUCAGUGUCUACCCACGAGAAAAUUUCAAAACAAGGUUUAAGUAAACCAGAUAUAAGUGAAGUGAAAAUGUAGUAUGUGAUAGAGUCCCAGUAGUGCAGUUGGAUUCGUUCUCGUCUCACAAUCAGGAAUUACAGAAUUACGAGUUUGAAUCCCAGGCGGUACAGAAAUGAUUGGGCACGUUUCUGAUCACUUAAUGCCCCGGUUCAUGUAGCAGUAAAUAGGUACCCAGAAGUUAGCCAGCUUGUUGUGGGGGUUACAUCCUGGGGAGGGUCAGUAGUUCUAUCGUUAGGGAGACCUCGACAUAAGUCUAACUGGUAUAUACUGGUUUCCCGUUCCCCAACAGAAUGAAUUAUUAUUAUUAUUAUUAUUAUUAUUAUUAUUAUUAUUAUUAUGUGAAGAGAACAGAAGCAAGAGAGCGUUAGAAUAGAGUAGAAUAAAGCCAAUAGUGUACACAAACGUCCCGCAAAACUGUGUAAGUUACUGCCACAAAAUAUGCACCAGGAGGUGUAUACCCUGCUUCUUG
Molecule: non-coding RNA, 1474 nt
Organism: Procambarus clarkii (red swamp crayfish)
Lineage: Eukaryota; Metazoa; Arthropoda; Malacostraca; Decapoda; Cambaridae
Source: RefSeq, a predicted model, not a curated record